GAUGAGCGCUGGCGGCGUGCCUAAUACAUGCAAGUCGAGCGAACGGACGAGAAGCUUGCUUCUCUGAUGUUAGCGGCGGACGGGUGAGUAACACGUGGAUAACCUACCUAUAAGACUGGGAUAACUUCGGGAAACCGGAGCUAAUACCGGAUAAUAUUUUGAACCGCAUGGUUCAAAAGUGAAAGACGGUCUUGCUGUCACUUAUAGAUGGAUUCGCGCUGCAUUAGCUAGUUGGUAAGGUAACGGCUUACCAAGGCAACGAUGCAUAGCCGACCUGAGAGGGUGAUCGGCCACACUGGAACUGAGACACGGUCCAGACCCCUACGGGAGGCAGCAGUAGGGAAUCUUCCGCAAAGGGCGAAAGCCUGACGGAGCAACGCCGCGUGAGUGAUGAAGGUCUUCGGAUCGUAAAACUCUGUUAUUAGGGAAGAACAUAUGUGUAAGUAACUGUGCACAUCUUGACGGUACCUAAUCAGAAAGCCACGGCUAACUACGUG
RNAcentral lists this ribosomal RNA (497 nucleotides) under uncultured bacterium. RNAcentral describes it as "partial 16S ribosomal RNA". It matches the Rfam family "Bacterial small subunit ribosomal RNA", at positions 28 to 507 of the family's 1533-position model. The record is from RNAcentral.